UGGCUCAGUGGUAGAGUGCUUGCCUUGCAUGCAUGAGGCCCUGGGUUUGAUCCUCAG
This 57-nucleotide transfer RNA is filed under the name Dipodomys ordii (Ord's kangaroo rat). It matches the Rfam family "tRNA", at positions 8 to 63 of the family's 71-position model. From Rfam's summary of the family: Transfer RNA (tRNA) molecules are approximately 80 nucleotides in length. Their secondary structure includes four short double-helical elements and three loops (D, anti-codon, and T loops). Further hydrogen bonds mediate the characteristic L-shaped molecular structure. tRNAs have two regions of fundamental functional importance: the anti-codon, which is responsible for specific mRNA codon recognition, and the 3' end, to which the tRNAs corresponding amino acid is attached (by aminoacyl-tRNA synthetases). tRNAs cope with the degeneracy of the genetic code in two manners: having more than one tRNA (with a specific anti-codon) for a particular amino acid; and 'wobble' base-pairing, i.e. permitting non-standard base-pairing at the 3rd anti-codon position. Lineage: Eukaryota; Metazoa; Chordata; Mammalia; Rodentia; Heteromyidae. The record is from Rfam by way of RNAcentral.